AUGGAAGGAGCUUUGGAUGGUGGUCUUGAUAUUGCGCACAGUGACAAGAGAUUUGCUGGCUUCAAGAAGGAUAAGAAGCAGCUGGGCGCUGAGAUUCACCGCAAAAUCCGCAAAUACAUCUAUGAAGGUCAUGUUGCUGACUACAUGAAGUCAAUAGCUGAUGAGGAAUCUAAGAAGUACCAAUCUCACUUCAGUGAGUACAUCAAGAAGAAUAUUGCGGCCGAUGACAUGGAAGCACUGUACAAGAAGGUUCAUGCUACCAUUUGUGCUUAUCCUACCAUGGCAAAAUCAACCAAGGAACCUCCAAAGACACACAAGAUGCAUGAUGAACUACACACUAAAGUUCAGCUGAAGUUCCCCUGUUUUCUUCUACUACAAGAGUUCUGUCGAUUUGUACUACUUGGCUGCAAAUGUAUGCCGCUUGCAUCACCAUACGGAUAG
RNAcentral lists this ribosomal RNA (441 nucleotides) under Triticum aestivum (bread wheat). RNAcentral describes it as "partial small subunit ribosomal RNA". Lineage: Eukaryota; Viridiplantae; Streptophyta; Magnoliopsida; Poales; Poaceae. The record is from RNAcentral.